Molecule: small nuclear RNA, 104 nt
Organism: Phodopus roborovskii (desert hamster)
Lineage: Eukaryota; Metazoa; Chordata; Mammalia; Rodentia; Cricetidae
Source: RefSeq, a predicted model, not a curated record
GUACUCACUUCUGUAGAACAUAUACUAAAAUUGGAACAAUACGGAGAUUAGCAUGGCCCCUGCACAAAAAUGACAUGAAAAUUCGUGAGGUAUUCCAUGUUUCC